UAGAGGAAGUAAAAGUCGUAACAAGGUUUCCGUAGGUGAACCUGCGGAAGGAUCAUUAAAAAUAUUUAGCACUUUGGUGUUAACUUCAACACAUUAUUGAAAACAACAGCUUUGGCGGCUUGCCGUCAAAGAUUAAACUCAACCUUUUUUAUUAUAAAUUUUGUCACAACAAAUUAUAACCUAAAAACUUUCAACAACGGAUCUCUUGGUUCUCGCAUCGAUGAAGAACGCAGCGAAAUGCGAUAAGUAAUAUGAAUUGCAGACUUUGUGAAUCAUCGAAUUUUUGAACGCACAUUGCGCCUUGUGGUAUUCCACAAGGCAUGCCUGUUUGAGCGUCAGACUCCCUCAAACCCUCGGGUUUGGCUGUGAGUGCACAAGCUCUAUAAAUUUGUUUACUCGAAAAUUAGUUUAGGAACAUCUCAUGUCUAGGAUUACCCACUCAUGAGUUGACCUUUUGAACUUUUUUAAUUUUCGACCUCAAAUCAGGUAGGACUACCCGCUGAACUUAAGCAUAUCAAUAA
RNAcentral lists this ribosomal RNA (521 nucleotides) under Suhomyces rongomai-pounamu. Its description in RNAcentral is "eukaryotic LSU rRNA". The stretch from base 186 to 338 matches the Rfam family "5.8S ribosomal RNA". The record is from RNAcentral. Lineage: Eukaryota; Fungi; Ascomycota; Pichiomycetes; Serinales; Debaryomycetaceae.